This is a non-coding RNA of Mus musculus (house mouse), 139 nucleotides long. NCBI's taxonomy places the organism in Eukaryota, Metazoa, Chordata, Mammalia, Rodentia, Muridae. The record is from Rfam.
GACCCCUGACAAUGGGCAAAGAGACACUUUGUGGGGUUGCUCUUAUAUCAGACAGGGGCAGAGCAGGUGGCAGUCCUUUGUUCUCCUAACUUGAUGUCUGGCUUGGUGGCCUAAGCUGUUUUAUGCCUAGAACACCUAA